UAGGGAAUCUUCGGCAAUGGACGAAAGUCCGACCGAGCAACGCCGCGUGAGUGAAGAAGGUUUUCGGAUCGUAAAACUCUGUUGUUAGAGAAGAACAAGGACGUUAGUAACUGAACGUCCCCUGACGGUAUCUAACCAGAAAGCCAUGGCUAACUACGUGCCAGCAGCCGCGGUAAUACGUAGGUGGCAAGCGUUGUCCGGAUUUAUUGGGCGUAAAGCGAGCGCAGGCGGUUUCUUAAGUCUGAUGUGAAAGCCCCCGGCUCAACCGGGGAGGGUCAUUGGAAACUGGGAGACUUGAGUGCAGAAGAGGAGAGUGGAAUUCCAUGUGUAGCGGUGAAAUGCGUAGAUAUAUGGAGGAACACCAGUGGCGAAGGCGGCUCUCUGGUCUGUAACUGACGCUGAGACUCGAAAGCGUGGGAAGCAAACAGG
This 429-nucleotide ribosomal RNA is filed under the name Gemmatimonadota bacterium. Its description in RNAcentral is "Gemmatimonadetes bacterium partial 16S ribosomal RNA". It matches the Rfam family "Bacterial small subunit ribosomal RNA", at positions 355 to 776 of the family's 1533-position model. Lineage: Bacteria; Pseudomonadati; Gemmatimonadota. The record is from RNAcentral.